RNAcentral lists this ribosomal RNA (523 nucleotides) under Thysanoteuthis rhombus. RNAcentral's name for it is "partial large subunit ribosomal RNA". It matches the Rfam family "Bacterial large subunit ribosomal RNA", at positions 1863 to 2626 of the family's 2925-position model. The record is from RNAcentral. Lineage: Eukaryota; Metazoa; Mollusca; Cephalopoda; Oegopsida; Thysanoteuthidae.
UCGGUGAAUUUUUUUAACAGCUGCGGCAUUUUAACUGUACUAAGGUAGCAUAAUAAUUUGCCUUAUAAUUUGAGGCUAGAAUGAAUGGUUUGACGAAGGUAAUCUGUCUCUACUUCAUUUUUUAGAAUUUAAUUUUCAUAGUGAAAAAGCUUGAAUGUUUUAAAGGGACGAGAAGACCCUAAUGAGCUUUAAUUUUAUAGUGAUCUCAUUGAGGCAUUGGUAAGGUCAUUUAUAAAUUUUAAUUGGGGUGAUUAAGGAAUAAAUUUGUAUAUCAUAUAACUUCCUUAGAAAUAAUUAUUUUUUGAUGAAGUAACCAAUUUUUUUAUUGCUUAUAGUAUAGUUACCAUAGGGAUAACAGCGUAAUUUGUUUAGAGAGUUCUUAUUGAAAAACGAGAUUGCGACCUCGAUGUUGGAUUAAAGUAACCUUAAGGUGCAGAAGCUUUAGUAAGGUAAAUCUGUUCGAUUUUUAAAACUUUACGUGAUCUGAGUUCAGACCGGACCCGCCUGUUUUAUCAUAAACAUA